UACGGAGGGUGCAAGCGUUGCUCGGAAUUAUUGGGCGUAAAGGGCAGGUAGGUGGUCUCAUUUGUCUGGGGUGAAAGCCUUGAGCUUAACUCAAGAAGUGCCCUAGAAACGGUGAGACUAGAGUCCUGGAGAGGGUCGUGGAAUUCCCGGUGUAGCGGUGAAAUGCGUAGAGAUCGGGAGGAACACCAGAGGCGAAGGCGGCGACCUGGACAGGUACUGACACUCAACUGCGAAAGCGUGGGGAGCAAACAGG
RNAcentral lists this ribosomal RNA (253 nucleotides) under uncultured bacterium. RNAcentral describes it as "partial 16S ribosomal RNA". It matches the Rfam family "Bacterial small subunit ribosomal RNA", at positions 524 to 776 of the family's 1533-position model. The record is from RNAcentral.